GGACUACAGGGGUUUCUAAUCCUGUUUGCUCCCCACGCUUUCGCGCCUCAGUGUCAGUAGCAAGCCAGGAAGUCGCCUUCGCCACUGGUGUUCCUUCCGAUAUCUACGCAUUUCACCGCUACACCGGAAAUUCCACUUCCCUCUCUUGUACUCUAGCAAAUCAGUUUCAUAUGCAAUUCCUAGGUUAAGCCCAGGGAUUUCACAUCUGACUUAAUUAACCACCUACGCGCCCUUUACGCCCAGUAAUUCCGAUUAACGCUCGCACCCUCUGUAUUACCGCGGCUGCUGGCAC
Molecule: ribosomal RNA, 292 nt
Filed under: uncultured bacterium
Lineage: Bacteria
Description: partial 16S ribosomal RNA
Source: RNAcentral